This 309-nucleotide ribosomal RNA is filed under the name uncultured bacterium. Its description in RNAcentral is "bacterial SSU rRNA". It matches the Rfam family "Bacterial small subunit ribosomal RNA", at positions 28 to 334 of the family's 1533-position model. The record is from RNAcentral.
GACGAACGCUGGCGGCGUGCCUAACACAUGCAAGUCGAACGGGAGCAAGUGCUUCGGUAUUUGCUUUAGUGGCGAACGGGUGAGUAACGCGUGAAUAACCUGCCUUUCAGAGGGGGACAACAGUUGGAAACGACUGCUAAUACCGCAUAAGCCCACGACCCGGCAUCGGGUUGAGGGAAAAGGAGCAAUCCGCUUUGAGAUGGCCUCGCGUCCGAUUAGCUGGUUGGUGAGGUAACGGCCCACCAAGGCGACGAUCGGUAGCCGGACUGAGAGGUUGAACGGCCACAUUGGGACUGAGAUACGGCCCAG